UUGCCAUAUAAGAGUGCUAUGAAUAUUCAUAUUUGAAGGAACUUUGUUUGUCCCAAUUCUGGACUGACCAAUCUGAAUUGAUGCUAACAUCCUUUAUUAUGGAACCAUAGAGUAUGCAAUAGGCUUUGUUUGCCAUAUAAGAGUGCUUCAACCUUCCUCUGGUAAUGAGGACCAUAAUUCCUGCUAGGAUUCUAACAACCUCAGCAGCUGAAGCUAUAGCCACUUUUAAAGCAUGCUUGCUUUGCUCUUCCUCUGCUCAUACUACUGCAAUUCAAGGAUAAAAGCACAGCACAUGCACUUUGUUUACAUUAGGGAGCCUCUCUGAAUGAAGAA
Non-coding RNA from Lupinus albus (white lupine), 333 nucleotides. The record is from the annotation of a GenBank genome assembly. Lineage: Eukaryota; Viridiplantae; Streptophyta; Magnoliopsida; Fabales; Fabaceae.